This 501-nucleotide long non-coding RNA is filed under the name Homo sapiens (human). RNAcentral's name for it is "PREDICTED lncRNA (TCONS_00014944)". The record is from RNAcentral. Lineage: Eukaryota; Metazoa; Chordata; Mammalia; Primates; Hominidae.
CUCAGGCUGAAUGACACUGGAAAUGACCAGUUCUUUAUGGGAGACUCCACCUUCCCCAGGAUCCCUUGGGACCGGCCUGCGCAGGAUAACUCCUUGCCUUCAUUCUCCUGCUAGCCUCAUUGCCUUUGCACAAGCUCUUCCCUCUGCCUGGAACACUUGUUGCUUCAGGAGUCGGCUCGAUGUAACUUCUACAGGGACCUGAGCCCCAAUCCAAGUUAGACACCUGGUUAUUGCAGCAGCCUGUAUCUCACCGUCCCAGAAUGAAUCAUGACUGCAAUGAAAACGAUGGCAUGAGCAUUUGUUACCAUCAGGCUUCCGCCCUAGAUUAUGAGCUCCCUGAGGACAAGCAGAGGGUUCAUCUCUCUUUAUAGCUAGAACCCAGCACAGCGCCUGGCACUCAGGAGGCACCCAAUUACUUUGGCUGACUGGAUAGACAUACAUACAGACGGACGGAUAAAUGGCUGGAAGAGGAGUGAUUGAAAAAAUACAUUUUAAAAUGCC